This 253-nucleotide ribosomal RNA is filed under the name uncultured bacterium. RNAcentral's name for it is "partial 16S ribosomal RNA". It matches the Rfam family "Bacterial small subunit ribosomal RNA", at positions 524 to 776 of the family's 1533-position model. The record is from RNAcentral.
UACGUAGGUGGCAAGCGUUGUCCGGAUUUAUUGGGCGUAAAGCGCUCGCAGGUGGUCCGUCGCGUCGUGCGUGAAAGACCCCGGCUCAACUGGGGAGGGUCGUGCGAUACGGGCGGACUGGAGGCCAGUAGGGGGAUGCGGAAUUCCGGGUGUAGUGGUGGAAUGCGUAGAGAUCCGGAGGAACACCAGCGGCGAAGGCGGCAUCCUGGACUGGUCCUGACACUCAGGAGCGAAAGCGUGGGGAGCGAUCCGG